RNAcentral lists this long non-coding RNA (1094 nucleotides) under Marmota monax (woodchuck). Lineage: Eukaryota; Metazoa; Chordata; Mammalia; Rodentia; Sciuridae. The record is from RNAcentral.
UGGGUGAGGGCGUUGGGCUGCAGAGUCACCCAUGUCAUGGCGUCAUCUCCUGGGAAGUCCCAAUGAUGCUGACAUGGGUGGACUCCAACUCUGCCAGGUGCAAGUCCAGCAAGCGCUCCAGGGGCUUAGGGGCCUUUCCCAGGUCCACGGCGAGACCACUUGGACGAUGUUUGGCUUCCAAAUCUUGGUUGGACUGAUCAGCAUCAAGCUCCAGCGUGCAAAAAAUAGAGAAGAAAGGAAGAAGGAGGAGGAAAGGAACAAGGUUAACCUUGCACGACCACCCUAGCCCUUUCCUCCGGGUGGCAGGUCUGGUCUCCUCUGGUAACAGCCCCAGUGGGCACUCAGGGCCAGCUCCACCCAGGCUCCCUCUGCCUUCAUGUUGGACAGAGGUGGUGGCUACAGCUGUGCGAGGACCUCAGUGGGCAGCAGACUCCCAGUCGAAGCUGGACCUUGUUCUCUGUUGGCACCUGCUGGCCUCUGAGUGUGGUCACCAUUCCUGAGUGGACACCAGCCUUCCGGCCUUCACAGCUGAUUCUCGGACCCCCUUUCUGGACCACCAGACUCCUUUGGGCCUCCCCAUUCCUCCUCAGAAGCUUGUCUUUGGUGCUGGAGAGACUCCCCUCCCACCUGUGGGGGGCCUGGACUAGGCCCUGUCUGUGGUCCCUGUUCUGUGUCUGUAGAAUUCCUCCGGUGCUUGUUUCCUCUGGGCUCCCCGGGAAGUCAGGCACACCUUUCCUCUUUUCUUUUUCCAGACUUGCUUAAACUUUUCUGGACCUCCCUCCUCCCAGGGAUAGAGCACAGGUUGGGAAAAAUAACAUUUCCCUUCUUAGAGAAUCUCCUGUGUAGCUCACUCAGUGGUGCAGGCCCCAACCUUGGGAUUCACCUUGAAUGCUCCCUGACCCCGUCCAUCAGGGGCAUCACUGACCCUGUUCUCUCUACAAGUUCACGUUCCCCCCCCCGCAACUGUCUUUAAGUUUCUUGCAUGCAAGGAACUUUAAAAAUUUACCACUGAAUCCCCAGAAGUGUAUCUGACCCAUUAUAUAUGGGCCGAAAACUUUGUUGAAUUAAUAUGUGAAUAAAUCCAUCUUUGAACU